CAAGUCGAACGGGAAUCUUCGGAUUCUAGUGGCGGACGGGUGAGUAACGCGUAAGAAUCUAACUUCAGGACGGGGACAACAGUUGGAAACGACUGCUAAUACCCGAUAUGCCGCGAGGUGAAACCUAAUUGGCCUGAAGAAGAGCUUGCGUCUGAUUAGCUAGUUGGUGGGGUAAGAGCCUACCAAGGCGACGAUCAGUAGCUGGUCUGAGAGGAUGAGCAGCCACACUGGGACUGAGACACGGCCCAGACUCCUACGGGAGGCAGCAGUGGGGAAUUUUCCGCAAUGGGCGAAAGCCUGACGGAGCAACGCCGCGUGAGGGAGGAAGGUCUUUGGAUUGUAAACCUCUUUUCUCAAGGAAGAAGUUCUGACGGUACUUGAGGAAUCAGCCUCGGCUAACUCCGUGCCAGCAGCCGCGGUAAUACGGGGGAGGCAAGCGUUAUCCGGAAUUAUUGGGCGUAAAGCGUCCGCAGGUGGUCAGCCAAGUCUGCUGUCAAAUCAGGUUGCUUAACGACCUAAAGGCGGUGGAAACUGGCAGACUAGAGAGCAGUAGGGGUAGCAGGAAUUCCCAGUGUAGCGGUGAAAUGCGUAGAGAUUGGGAAGAACAUCGGUGGCGAAAGCGUGCUACUGGGCUGUAUCUGACACUCAGGGACGAAAGCUAGGGGAGCGAAAGGGAUUAGAUACCCCUGUAGUCCUAGCCGUAAACGAUGGAUACUAGGCGUGGCUUGUAUCGACCCGAGCCGUGCCGAAGCUAACGCGUUAAGUAUCCCGCCUGGGGAGUACGCACGCAAGUGUGAAACUCAAGGAAUUGACGG
This 815-nucleotide ribosomal RNA is filed under the name uncultured bacterium. RNAcentral's name for it is "bacterial SSU rRNA". It matches the Rfam family "Bacterial small subunit ribosomal RNA", at positions 58 to 916 of the family's 1533-position model. The record is from RNAcentral.